Vulpes vulpes (red fox) is the source of this 135-nucleotide small nucleolar RNA. The record is from Ensembl. Lineage: Eukaryota; Metazoa; Chordata; Mammalia; Carnivora; Canidae.
AGCCUCAUUUUCCACGAGAAUAGGCACUGCUGGUUGCGUGUCCUGGAAUUCCUAAUGUGGCUAAACUGAGACCACAGACCAUGUUUCCAGCUCAGGAAACGGACUGCAAGGGGGACGAUGAGACCUGUAAUUUUU